RNAcentral lists this ribosomal RNA (442 nucleotides) under uncultured bacterium. Its description in RNAcentral is "partial 16S ribosomal RNA". It matches the Rfam family "Bacterial small subunit ribosomal RNA", at positions 339 to 795 of the family's 1533-position model. The record is from RNAcentral.
CUACGGGAGGCACCAGCAAGGAAUAUUGUACAAUGGGGGAAACCCUGAUACAGCAACGCCGCGUGAAGGAAGAAGGCCUUCGGGUUGUAAACUUCUGUUUUAGAGGAAGAAGAAAGUGACGGUACUCUUAGAGGAAGCCCCGGCAAACUACGUGCCAGCAGCCGCGGUAACACGUAGGGGGCGAGCGUUGUCCGGAAUCCCUGGGCGUAAAGGGCGCGUAGGCGGUUUAUUAAGUUGCAUGUGAAAACCCAGGGCUUAACCCUGGACCUGCAUGCAAAACUGGUAGACUUGAGUAUGGCAGAGGAAAGUGGAAUUCCUAGUGUAGCGGUGGAAUGCGUAGAUAUUAGGAGGAACACCAGUGGCGAGGGCGACUUGCUGGGCCAAAACUGACGCUGAGGCGCGAAAGCGUGGGGAGCAAACAGGAUUAGAUACCCGAGUAGUC